GAUGAAGAACGCAGCGAAAUGCGAUAAGUAGUGUGAAUUGCAGAAUUCAGUGAAUCAUCGAAUCUUUGAACGCACAUUGCGCCCUUUGGUAUUCCUUAGGGCAUGCCUGUUCGAGCGUCAUUUGAAACCUCAAGCUCAGCUUGGUGUUGGGUGUCUGUCCCCGCCUCACCGCGGGGACUCGCCUCAAAAUCAUUGGCGGCCGGUACGUUGGCUUCGAGCGCAGCAGAAACGCGAACUCGAGGCCCGGCGGAUCGGCGACCAGAAGUCACUUCUUCACAGUUGACCUCGGAUCAGGUAGGGAUACCCGCUGAACUUAAGCAUAUCAAUAAGCGGAGGA
RNAcentral lists this unclassified non-coding RNA (337 nucleotides) under soil metagenome. RNAcentral describes it as "partial contains 5.8S ribosomal RNA, internal transcribed spacer 2, and large subunit ribosomal RNA". The stretch from base 1 to 120 matches the Rfam family "5.8S ribosomal RNA", at positions 35 to 154 of the family's 154-position model. The record is from RNAcentral.